CCUGAUCCAGCAAUGCCGCGUGUGUGAAGAAGGCCUUCGGGUUGUAAAGCACUUUUGUCCGGAAAGAAAUCCUCUGGGUUAAUACCUCGGGGGGAUGACGGUACCGGAAGAAUAAGCACCGGCUAACUACGUGCCAGCAGCCGCGGUAAUACGUAGGGUGCGAGCGUUAAUCGGAAUUACUGGGCGUAAAGCGUGCGCAGGCGGUUUUGUAAGACGGAUGUGAAAUCCCCGGGCUCAACCUGGGAACUGCAUUCGUGACUGCAAGGCUAGAGUAUGGCAGAGGGGGGUAGAAUUCCACGUGUAGCAGUGAAAUGCGUAGAGAUGUGGAGGAAUACCGAUGGCGAAGGCAGCCCCCUGGGCCAAUACUGACGCUCAUGCACGAAAGCGUGGGGAGCAAACAGGAUUAGAUACCCUGGUAGUCCACGCCCUAAACGAUGUCAACUAGUUGUUGGGGAUUCAUUUCCUUAGUAACGUAGCUAACGCGUGAAGUUGACCGCCUGGGGAGUACGGUCGCAAGAUUAAAACUCAAAGGAAUUGACGGGGACCCGCACAAGCGGUGGAUGAUGUGGAUUAAUUCGAUGCAACGCGAAAAACCUUACCUACCCUUGACAUGUACGGAAGUCCGCUGAGA
RNAcentral lists this ribosomal RNA (631 nucleotides) under Pandoraea sp. IBb329. RNAcentral describes it as "bacterial SSU rRNA". It matches the Rfam family "Bacterial small subunit ribosomal RNA", at positions 382 to 1006 of the family's 1533-position model. Lineage: Bacteria; Pseudomonadati; Pseudomonadota; Betaproteobacteria; Burkholderiales; Burkholderiaceae. The record is from RNAcentral.